UUAAGCAUAUCAAUAAGCGGAGGAAAAGAAACCAACAGGGAUUGCCUUAGUAACUGCGAGUGAAGCGGCAAGAGCUCAAAUUUGAAAUCUAGCACCUUCGGUGUUCGAGUUGUAAUUUGUAGAAGCGUCUUUGAGGUUGCGCCUUGCAUAAGUUCCUUGGAACAGGACUGUCAUAGAGGGUGAGAAUCCCGUAUAUGGUGGGGCUUGCAAUCUUUUGUAAAGUGCUUUCGACGAGUCGAGUUGUUUGGGAAUGCAGCUCUAAGUGGGUGGUAAAUUCCAUCUAAAGCUAAAUAUUGGCGAGAGACCGAUAGCGAAGAAGUACAGUGAUGGAAAGAUGAAAAGCACUCCGAAAGGAGGGUGAAAUAGGACGUGAAAUUGUUGAAAGGGAAGUGCUUGGGAUCAGUCUUUAGUUUUAGUGAUCAAUUUUCCUUCUGGAUUAUGCACUCGCUAUUUCUUUGGCCAACAUCAGUUUUUGCGGCAGGAUAAUGACAUUGGAAUGUGGCUUCUUCGGGAGUGUUAUAGACUUUGUUGAUACUGCUUGCUUGGACUGAGGACCGCGCUUCGGCUAGGAUGUUGGCAUAAUGAUCUUAAGCAGCCCGUU
RNAcentral lists this ribosomal RNA (601 nucleotides) under Limtongia smithiae. RNAcentral's name for it is "LSU rRNA". It matches the Rfam family "Eukaryotic large subunit ribosomal RNA", at positions 34 to 653 of the family's 3401-position model. The record is from RNAcentral. Lineage: Eukaryota; Fungi; Ascomycota; Lipomycetes; Lipomycetales; Lipomycetaceae.